CGGGGCGUGGCUCAGCCUGGUAGAGCACCUGGUUCGGGACCAGGGGGUCGGAGGUUCGAAUCCUCUCGCCCCGA
RNAcentral lists this transfer RNA (74 nucleotides) under Bacteroidota bacterium. RNAcentral's name for it is "tRNA-Pro". It matches the Rfam family "tRNA". Rfam says of the family: Transfer RNA (tRNA) molecules are approximately 80 nucleotides in length. Their secondary structure includes four short double-helical elements and three loops (D, anti-codon, and T loops). RNAcentral also lists the same sequence under 3 other names. The record is from RNAcentral. Lineage: Bacteria; Pseudomonadati; Bacteroidota.